This 1322-nucleotide ribosomal RNA is filed under the name metagenome. RNAcentral describes it as "bacterial LSU rRNA". It matches the Rfam family "Bacterial large subunit ribosomal RNA", at positions 1626 to 2925 of the family's 2925-position model. The record is from RNAcentral.
CUCAGGUAACAUCAAAUCGUACCCCAAACCGACACAGGUGGUCAGGUAGAGAAUACCAAGGCGCUUGAGAGAACUCGGGUGAAGGAACUAGGCAAAAUGGUGCCGUAACUUCGGGAGAAGGCACGCUGAUAUGUAGGUGAAGCGACUUGCUCGUGGAGCUGAAAUCAGUCGAAGAUACCAGCUGGCUGCAACUGUUUAUUAAAAACACAGCACUGUGCAAACACGAAAGUGGACGUAUACGGUGUGACGCCUGCCCGGUGCCGGAAGGUUAAUUGAUGGGGUUAGCGCAAGCGAAGCUCUUGAUCGAAGCCCCGGUAAGCGGCGGCCGUAACGAUAACGGUCCUAAGGUAGCGAAAUUCCUUGUCGGGUAAGUUCCGACCUGCACGAAUGGCGUAAUGAUGGCCAGGCUGUCUCCACCCGAGACUCAGUGAAAUUGAACUCGCUGUGAAGAUGCAGUGUACCCGCGGCAAGACGGAAAGACCCCGUGAACCUUUACUAUAGCUUGACACUGAACAUUGAGCCUUGAUGUGUAGGAUAGGUGGGAGGCUUAGAAGUGUGGACGCCAGUCUGCAUGGAGCCGACCUUGAAAUACCACCCUUUAAUGUUUGAUGUUCUAACGUUGACCCGUAAUCCGGGUUGCGGACAGUGUCUGGUGGGUAGUUUGACUGGGGCGGUCUCCUCCUAAAGAGUAACGGAGGAGCACGAAGGUUGGCUAAUCCUGGUCGGACAUCAGGAGGUUAGUGCAAUGGCAUAAGCCAGCUUGACUGCGAGCGUGACGGCGCGAGCAGGUGCGAAAGCAGGUCAUAGUGAUCCGGUGGUUCUGAAUGGAAGGGCCAUCGCUCAACGGAUAAAAGGUACUCCGGGGAUAACAGGCUGAUACCGCCCAAGAGUUCAUAUCGACGGCGGUGUUUGGCACCUCGAUGUCGGCUCAUCACAUCCUGGGGCUGAAGUAGGUCCCAAGGGUAUGGCUGUUCGCCAUUUAAAGUGGUACGCGAGCUGGGUUUAGAACGUCGUGAGACAGUUCGGUCCCUAUCUGCCGUGGGCGCUGGAGAACUGAGGGGGGCUGCUCCUAGUACGAGUGGACCGGAGUGGACGCAUCACUGGUGUUCGGGUUGUCAUGCCAAUGGCACUGCCCGGUAGCUAAAUGCGGAAGAGAUAAGUGCUGAAAGCAUCUAAGCACGAAACUUGCCCCGAGAUGAGUUCUCCCUGACCCUUUAAGGGUCCUGAAGGAACGUUGAAGACGACGACGUUGAUAGGCCGGGUGUGUAAGCGCAGCGAUGCGUUGAGCUAACCGGUACUAAUGAACCGUGAGGCUUAACCUU